Molecule: non-coding RNA, 866 nt
Filed under: Pongo abelii (Sumatran orangutan)
Lineage: Eukaryota; Metazoa; Chordata; Mammalia; Primates; Hominidae
Source: RNAcentral
AGUCACAAGAGGCCCUGAGCUCUGUGGGCCCCAGGAGCCCCGGGAAAACCUGGGGGAGAAUGGGCAUCCCACCCCAGCACUUUCUAGGAAGAAGGGCAACAUUUUGAAGGGCUGGAAGUAGAGAAAGAAGGUUGCGGGUAGAAGACUCCAUACUUUCUGUGACGCCUAUUCCUUAGGAGAGCUUUUAUAUAACCAAAGAUAUUUUUGGACCAUGAAUUCGGAAAUUCUCGGAGCCACCCAUCAAUGCCUGAGCUUCAGUGAGUCCAUAUCCCAUGUCACCUACGGCAAAGGAGAAUCUGAGACUUCUGAAGAGUUUCUUGCUUCUUUCCUGUGGGGCAGUGACUCCACUUCCCAGCAGUAAUGGAAUAUCCUGAAUUAGCUACAUUAAUGUUAGAACCAUUUGGACCUCACCCAGGACUUCAACUACAUUGUGCUAAAGUUACAGAAUCCAAAUUUGGCAACUGCCUGCAUCUGAACAACAGAAGUUUCAACAUUCUGCCAACAGAGUAACUCCUGGACGACUGGCACAGAAGAAGGCACAAGGCAAAUACCCAUCUCUGUACACCCUGUGCUACUGUGUCAUGUGCUGCUCCAGGCAACUCCAAUGGAUUGGCCACCCUGGCCAAUGUGUUCUAGUAUGUUAGGUUUAUGUUCCCCUGCUUUCUACAAUCCUGUUCAAAGAGUUGCUGACUUAACCACAGAGAGAAUUCCAGAACAUGAGACACAGAAUAAACUUGAACAAUCAUAGUCCAUCCACUUCAUUUUCUCAUCGAAAACCAAAGGUCCAGUGAGGCUCUGGAACUCGACGCUGUAAAGGAGCGAAGGAGCAUCUAUACAGAACCUGGAUGCCUGUCUCCUUAUCCUAC